CCUACGUGUGGCAGCAGUGAGGAAUAUUGGUCAAUGGCCGUAAGGCUGAACCAGCCAAGUCGCGUGAAGGAAGAAGGCCCUAUGGUUUGUAAACUUCUUUUAUAGGGGAAUAAAGGUAUCCACGUGUGGAUAUUUGCAUGUACCCUAUGAAUAAGCAUCGGCUAACUCCGUGCCAGCAGCCGCGGUAAUACGGAGGAUGCUAGCGUUAUCCGGCUUUAUUGGGUUUAAAGGGUGCGUAGGUUGUUUGUUAAGUCAGCGGUGAAAGUUUGUGGCUCAACCCGAGAAUUGACGUUGAUACUGGAGGACUUGAGUGUGUAUGCGGUAGGCGGAAUGCGUGGUGUAGCGGUGAAAUGCAUAGAUAUCACGCAGAACACCGAUUGCGAAGGCAGCUUACUAAGCCAUAACUGACACUGAAGCACGAAAGCGUGGGGAGCAAACAGGAUUAGAUACCCUUGUAGUC
RNAcentral lists this ribosomal RNA (460 nucleotides) under uncultured bacterium. Its description in RNAcentral is "partial 16S ribosomal RNA". It matches the Rfam family "Bacterial small subunit ribosomal RNA", at positions 338 to 795 of the family's 1533-position model. The record is from RNAcentral.